RNAcentral lists this ribosomal RNA (433 nucleotides) under uncultured bacterium. RNAcentral's name for it is "partial 16S ribosomal RNA". It matches the Rfam family "Bacterial small subunit ribosomal RNA", at positions 29 to 507 of the family's 1533-position model. The record is from RNAcentral.
AACGAACGCUGGCGGCAUGCCUAACACAUGCAAGUCGAACGAAACCUUCGGGUCUAGUGGCGCACGUGUGCGUAACGCGUGGGAACCUGCCCUUAGGUUCGGAAUAACUCCCCGAAAGGGGUGCUAAUACCGGAUAAUGUCUUCGGACCAAAGAUGUAUGGCCUUGGGAUGGGCCCGCGUUGGAUUCGCGAGUUGGUAGGGUACAAGCCUACCAAGGCGAGGAUCCAUAGCUGGUAGGUUAGGAUGACCAUCCACACUUGGAAUAAGACACGGCCCAGUAUCCGACGGGAGGGAGCAGUGGAGAAUAUUGUGCGAUGGGCGAAGGCCUGAUACAGCAGUGUCGGGGGAGUGAUGAAGGGCGUAGGGUUGUAAUGCUGUUUUACCCGAGAUGAUAAUGACAGUACCGGGAGAAUAAGCACCGGCUAACUCCGUG